GACGAACGCUGGCGGCGUGCUUAACACAUGCAAGUCGAGCGGUAAGGCCCUUUCGGGGUACGACGAGCGGCGAACGGGUGAGUAACACGUGGGUGACCUGCCCUCAGCUCUGGGAGUAAGCCUGGGAAACGUGGGUCGUAAUACCGGAUAUGACUCCAUGACGCAUGUUGUGGGGUGGAAAGCCUUGUGCGGCUGAGGAUGGGCCCGCGGCCUAUCAGCUUGUUGGUGGGGUGAGGCCUACCAAGGCGACGACGGGUAGCCGGCCUGAGAGGGCGACCGGCCACACUGGGACUGAGACACGGCCCAGACUCCUACGGGAGGCAGCAGUGGGGAAUCUUGCGCAAUGGGCGAAAGCCUGACGCAGCGACGCCGCGUGAGGGAUGACGGCCU
This 390-nucleotide ribosomal RNA is filed under the name uncultured bacterium. RNAcentral's name for it is "bacterial SSU rRNA". It matches the Rfam family "Bacterial small subunit ribosomal RNA", at positions 28 to 417 of the family's 1533-position model. The record is from RNAcentral.